Molecule: ribosomal RNA, 253 nt
Filed under: uncultured bacterium
Lineage: Bacteria
Description: partial 16S ribosomal RNA
Rfam family: Bacterial small subunit ribosomal RNA
Source: RNAcentral
UACGUAGGUGGCAAGCGUUGUCCGGAUUUACUGGGCGUAAAGGAUGCGUAGGCGGACAUUUAAGUCAGAUGUGAAAUACCCGAGCUUAACUUGGGUGCUGCAUUUGAAACUGGGUGUCUAGAGUGCAGGAGAGGUAAGUGGAAUUCCUAGUGUAGCGGUGAAAUGCGUAGAGAUCAGGAAGAACACCAGUGGCGAAGGCGACUUACUGGACUGUAACUGACGCUGAGGCAUGAAAGCGUGGGGAGCAAACAGG